This 610-nucleotide long non-coding RNA is filed under the name Olea europaea (common olive). RNAcentral's name for it is "long non-coding RNA (OEUR_LNC003006)". Lineage: Eukaryota; Viridiplantae; Streptophyta; Magnoliopsida; Lamiales; Oleaceae. The record is from RNAcentral.
AUUACUUGAAUAAUGUUAUUCGAAGUGGCUCAUUACGACAGUUGCCUUACAUGAUAUAUACAUGAUAGGUAGUUAUUUGAUGCAUGUUGUUUACAAGUUGAUAGGUAAAUUUCUUUGUAAGAAACUAGUACUAUCAAAGAGAAUGAGAUCAUCCCUCCCACCCCCAACUUAACAUGAAAAUAAAAUUAGAAACGAAGUCUAACAAAUAAACUCUGCAGUGAGUGUAUAAAAAAAUUCAGAAUAACCAGAAAAUAAAAACAUAUGGAAUAUUCAUGGACAGAUAAUAUAAUCAGGAUCGGGAGUGUAAUAAAACUUGCUUUCCUUGAAAGGGUCCAAUUUGUUGUGGCAAGGGGAUGGACCGGAAGGAGGUACCGGCCCUCUUGGCAGCUGAUUUUCCAGCAAGGCAUCGUACUUUUUUAUUCUUGUACUCUCUCCUCCUGAAGCCAUAUUUGCUGUGACUAGAAUUACCAGUAACAAAACUACUUUCAUGGCCACCAUUGGACCUUUCUCGCGGCACAAAGAUAUAUUGAUAUAGAUGUAGAGAAAUGAGGGGAGGGGAGGGGAGGAGAGGAGAGAGAUGAGUUGAAGAUAAUGAAACAUGCAAAUAUGG